GCAGCGACACUAUGUGUUGUUGGGUAGGGGAGCGUUCUGUAAGCCUGCGAAGGUGACCUGUGAGGGUUGCUGGAGGUAUCAGAAGUGCGAAUGCUGACAUAAGUAACGAUAAAGCGGGUGAAAAGCCCGCUCGCCGGAAGACCAAGGGUUCCUGUCCAACGUUAAUCGGGGCAGGGUGAGUCGACCCCUAAGGCGAGGCCGAAAGGCGUAGUCGAUGGGAAACAGGUUAAUAUUCCUGUACUUGGUGUUACUGCGAAGGGGGGACGGAGAAGGCUAUGUUAGCCGGGCGACGGUUGUCCCGGUUUAAGCAUGUAGGCUGAUUGUCCAGGCAAAUCCGGAUAAUCAAGGCUGAGGUGUGAUGACGAGGCACUACGGUGCUGAAGUAACAAAUGCCCUGCUUCCAGGAAAAGCCUCUAAGCAUCAGGUAACAUUAAAUCGUACCCCAAACCGACACAGGUGGUCAGGUAGAGAAUACCAAGGCGCUUGAGAGAACUCGGGUGAAGGAACUAGGCAAAAUGGUGCCGUAACUUCGGGAGAAGGCACGCUGGUGUGUAGGUGAAGUCCCUGCGGAUGGAGCUGAGACCAGUCGAAGAUACCAGCUGGCUGCAACUGUUUAUUAAAAACAC
Molecule: ribosomal RNA, 626 nt
Filed under: Klebsiella pneumoniae
Lineage: Bacteria; Pseudomonadati; Pseudomonadota; Gammaproteobacteria; Enterobacterales; Enterobacteriaceae
Description: partial 23S ribosomal RNA
Rfam family: Bacterial large subunit ribosomal RNA
Source: RNAcentral